GACGAACCGUGCAAACGUUAUUCGGAAUCACUGGGCUUAAAGCGCGUGUAGGCGGCCUGACGCGUCCGAGGCUGAAAGCCCCCGGCUCAACCGGGGAACGGGCCCGGAUACGGUCAGGCUCGAGGGGGGUAGGGGGAGCCGGAACUUCCGGUGGAGCGGUGAAAUGCGUUGAGAUCGGAAGGAACGCCCGUGGCGAAAGCGGGCUCCUGGACCCCGCCUGACGCUCAGACGCGAAAGCCAGGGGAGCGAACGGG
This 254-nucleotide ribosomal RNA is filed under the name uncultured Singulisphaera sp. Its description in RNAcentral is "partial 16S ribosomal RNA". It matches the Rfam family "Bacterial small subunit ribosomal RNA", at positions 524 to 776 of the family's 1533-position model. The record is from RNAcentral. Lineage: Bacteria; Pseudomonadati; Planctomycetota; Planctomycetia; Isosphaerales; Isosphaeraceae.